Non-coding RNA from Streptomyces sp. AcH 505, 75 nucleotides. The record is from Rfam. NCBI's taxonomy places the organism in Bacteria, Bacillati, Actinomycetota, Actinomycetes, Kitasatosporales, Streptomycetaceae.
CUUCACCGAACCCAGCCACAGCGGCCGGUCCUCCGGACGGUCCUGCCCGUACGUCGCCAGCAGCGCCUGCGCCUC